GACGGCCUUCGGGUUGUAAACCUCUUUUAGCAGGGAAGAAGCGAAAGUGACGGUACCUGCAGAAAAAGCGCCGGCUAACUACGUGCCAGCAGCCGCGGUAAUACGUAGGGCGCAAGCGUUAUCCGGAAUUAUUGGGCGUAAAGAGCUCGUAGGCGGUUUGUCGCGUCUGCUGUGAAAUCCCGAGGCUCAACCUCGGGCCUGCAGUGGGUACGGGCAGACUAGAGUGCGGUAGGGGAGAUUGGAAUUCCUGGUGUAGCGGUGGAAUGCGCAGAUAUCAGGAGGAACACCGAUGGCGAAGGCAGAUCUCUGGGCCGUAACUGACGCUGAGGAGCGAAAGGGUGGGGAGCAAACAGGCUUAGAUACCCUGGUAGUCCACCCCGUAAACGUUGGGAACUAGUUGUGGGGUCCAUUCCACGGAUUCCGUGACGCAGCUAACGCAUUAAGUUCCCCGCCUGGGGAGUACGGCCGCAAGGCUAAAACUCAAAGGAAUUGACGGGGACCCGCACAAGCGGCGGAGCAUGCGGAUUAAUUCGAUGCAACGCGAAGAACCUUACCAAGGCUUGACAUAUACGAGAACGGGCCAGAAAUGGUCAACUCUUUGGACACUCGUAAACAGGUGGUGCAUGGUUGUCGUCAGCUCGUGUCGUGAGAUGUUGGGUUAAGUCCCGCAACGAGCGCAACCCUCGUUCUAUGUUGCCAGCACGUAAUGGUGGGAACUCAUGGGAUACUGCCGGGGUCAACUCGGAGGAAGGUGGGGAUGACGUCAAAUCAUCAUGCCCCUUAUGUCUUGGGCUUCACGCAUGCUACAAUGGCCGGUACAAAGGGCUGCAAUACCGCGAGGUGGAGCGAAUCCCAAAAAGCCGGUCCCAGUUCGGAUUGAGGUCUGCAACUCGACCUCAUGAAGUCGGAGUCGCUAGUAAUCGCAGAUCAGCAACGCUGCGGUGAAUAC
This 949-nucleotide ribosomal RNA is filed under the name Microbacterium sp. BE349. RNAcentral describes it as "bacterial SSU rRNA". It matches the Rfam family "Bacterial small subunit ribosomal RNA", at positions 410 to 1369 of the family's 1533-position model. The record is from RNAcentral. Lineage: Bacteria; Bacillati; Actinomycetota; Actinomycetes; Micrococcales; Microbacteriaceae.